Molecule: ribosomal RNA, 447 nt
Filed under: uncultured bacterium
Lineage: Bacteria
Description: bacterial SSU rRNA
Rfam family: Bacterial small subunit ribosomal RNA
Source: RNAcentral
AACGAACGCUGGCGGCAGGCCUAACACAUGCAAGUCGAACGCUCCGCAAGGGGAGUGGCGCACGGGUGAGUAACACGUGGGAACCUACCUUCUGGUACGGAACAACCAAGGGAAACUUUGGCUAAGACCGUAUACGACCUCCGGGUGAAAGAUUGAUCGCCGGAAGAGGGGCCCGCGUCCGAUUAGGUAGUUGGUGAGGUAACGGCUCACCAAGCCUUCGAUCGGUAGCUGGUCUGAGAGGAUGACCAGCCACACUGGGACUGAGACACGGCCCAGACUCCUACGGGAGGCAGCAGUGGGGAAUAUUGGACAAUGGGCGCAAGCCUGAUCCAGCCAUGCCGCGUGAGUGACGAAGGUCUUCGGAUUGUAAAACUCUUUUGGCGGGACGAUAAUGACGGUACCCGUAGAAUAAGCCCCGGCUAACUUCGUGCCAGCAGCCGCCGUAAG